UCAUAUCUUAUAACAGUUCUGGAAUAUUCUCAACCAAUAUCUCGUCCUUAUGACUCUUUCACUGUUUUCUUUCCCCCCUUUUGUAUUUUCCAUCUGCAUGUGCCUGGUCUGCAGUCUGAACAAUUUCCUCAUAUCCUUCUUCUAGUUCGUUGAAAUUCAUCCUUUCUAAUCAGCUGAUCAACUCACCUAUUUACUUAAAGAAGAAGAAGAAGAAGAAGAAGAAGAAGAAGAGAGAGAGAGAGAGAGGUGCUGAGGAUGGAACCCAGCGCCCCGCGCACGCCAGGCGAGCGCGUAAUUACCGCUUGAGCCACAUCCCCAGCCCCUAACCUAUUUACUUUUAGGUUAUUGUCAGACUUAAAGUUAUAUUUUGUCCUUUUUCAAUUUUAUCUUUUUUGGUUUGUUGUUGUUGUUACUGGGGAUUGAACUCCAGGAUGCUUCACCACUGAGCUACAUCCCCAGAACUUUUAAAUUUUUUUUUUUUUUUUUAUUCUGAGACAGGGUCUCACUGAGUUGCUUAAGUUCUUCCUAAAUUGCUGAGGCUGCCUUUGAACUUGAGAUCCUCCUGUCUCAGCUUCCUGACUUGCUGGGAUUACAGGCAAGCACCACCACCUCAGUUAAAAAUCAGUUUUUAUCUUGUUUUUAGUGGUGCUGGGGAUUGAACUCAGGGAGUUUUGCCUGCUAGGCAAGCACUCUAUCACUGAGCUAUAACCCCAGCCUAAAUAAUUUUGAUGGCUUCUUUGUUCGUGGUUUCUGGAUUCCAGCUUAGAUUCCUUAAACAUUCAUACAUAUAUGCUAUACUUAGUAAUGCCAAUUUCCUAGUGCUUAGUGUUUGGGGGGAAGAGUGUCCAAAUCUAUUAUUUAUUUUUUUCUGCUGAGCUCAGUAAUAGCCUAGUAUUUUUUUGAAAAUUUGGUGGAUUUUUUUUUUUUUUGGAGGGGUGCAGGUCCUGUACAUGGUAGGCACAUGCUCUACCCCUGAGCUAUACUCCCAGCCCCUGGUAAUUUAUGAUGUCUGCCCAUAUCUGUAACGAUCUGAAGUCCUAACUUAGGGACAGUUUCCUUCAGAGAUGGGAAAUGACCAUCUUAGGCUCUGCUGAGGGUCCUGGCUUAGUGCUCUCCCGUGCAUAGCACCCACACUUUUUUUCCCCUGAGAGUGCUUGACUCUCUAUCCCUGUAUCCAGGGAAUUGUCUGCUUUCCCAUCAGUUUCCCUGCAUCAUGGGCUUCUUUUCAUUAUUCUAGUUGUUUGUUGGCUUAUUUAGUGUUUUUAUGGUACUGGAGAUUGAAUCCAGGGGCGCUCUACCACUAAGCUGUAUCUCCAGCCCUUUUUUUAAAAAAAUAUUUUUAUUAGUUGUUGAUAGGCUUUUCAUUUAUUUAUGUGGUGCUGAGAAUUGAACCCAGUGCCUUACUCGUGCUAGGCAAGUGCUCUUCCACUGAGCCACAACCCCAGCCCCUCCAGCUUUUUUCUCCUCCCUCCCUCCCUCCCUCCCUCCCUCCCUCUCCCCCCCCCCUCUCUCUUUCAAGACAAGAAUCUUGCUAGUUGCCCAGACUGGCUUGAAUUUGUGGGCCUCCCAACUGGGCCUCCCAAAUAGCUGGGAAACAAGUGUGUGCCACUGCACCUGUCUGCUGAUUUAUAAUGUCUAAUUGUGUGUGUGGGGGGGGUAUUUGAGAUAUUUCUUUCCUUGUAAGUCCAACAGUGUAUUAAAAAUGACUGCUCACUGUGAUUUAACA
Molecule: long non-coding RNA, 1726 nt
Filed under: Marmota monax (woodchuck)
Lineage: Eukaryota; Metazoa; Chordata; Mammalia; Rodentia; Sciuridae
Source: RNAcentral